This 376-nucleotide ribosomal RNA is filed under the name uncultured bacterium. RNAcentral describes it as "bacterial SSU rRNA". It matches the Rfam family "Bacterial small subunit ribosomal RNA", at positions 137 to 489 of the family's 1533-position model. The record is from RNAcentral.
AUGGGGAUAUCCUUCCGAAAGGAGGGCAAUACCGAAUAUUGUCCGGAGCCGUGAAGGGUUCCGGGGAAAGGGAGGCCUCUGAUACAAGCUUUCGCCUUAAGAUGAGCCCAUGGCCCAUCAGCUAGUUGGUAGGGUAAAGGCCUACCAAGGCUACGACGGGUCGCUGGUCUGAGAGGACGACCAGCCACACUGGCACUGAGAUACGGGCCAGACUCCUACGGGAGGCAGCAGUGAGGAAUAUUGCGCAAUGGGGGAAACCCUGACGCAGCAACGCCGCGUGUGGGGAAGAAGGCCUUCGGGUCGUAAACCACUUUUACUCGGGACGAAAAAAGGGAUAAUCAAAUAAAUAUCCCCGAUGACGGUACCGUGAGAAUAA